RNAcentral lists this ribosomal RNA (435 nucleotides) under Triticum aestivum (bread wheat). RNAcentral's name for it is "partial small subunit ribosomal RNA". Lineage: Eukaryota; Viridiplantae; Streptophyta; Magnoliopsida; Poales; Poaceae. The record is from RNAcentral.
AUGACUAGGGAUAACCUUAGGAAGAGACACAUCAUCAAACCCCUUGAUUGUGUUUACUGCUUGGAACAAGAGUCUGGUUCUCACCUAUUUUUUGAAUGUAUAGUUGCUAAACAUCUCUAGGCCCACAUUGAGGAAUAUUUCUCUAGUCAGAUUGGCUAAUCCUUCGAAUCUGUCGCCAGAUUCUGGAUUGCUACCAAAAAGCUCAGUUUUAACACUGUUAGCUCAGCUGUCCUUUGCUGUCUCUGGAAAUAUAGAAAUGGUAUGAUUUUCAGUAACACCUCCUGGAUUUCCAUUCCGUAGGUCUUGAGGUUGAUCAGGAACAUGGUGAGGAACUGGGCGAUUCUCUCCUCCGGAUCGGACAAGGACAAGUUGAUGAGCUUCGUGGAAACCCUAACAAGAUCCCUCCAGAAACCAUUGGCAAUCACUUGUGGCUGA